ACGGAAGGCAGCAGUGGGGAAUAUUGCACAAUGGGCGCAAGCCUGAUGCAGCGACGCCGCGUGAGGGAUGACGGCCUUCGGGUUGUAAACCUCUUUCAGUAGGGAAGAAGCGAAAGUGACGGUACCUGCAGAAGAAGCGCCGGCUAACUACGUGCCAGCAGCCGCGGUAAUACGUAGGGCGCAAGCGUUAUCCGGAAUUAUUGGGCGUAAAGAGCUCGUAGGCGGUUUGUCGCGUCUGCCGUGAAAGUCCGGGGCUCAACUCCGGAUCUGCGGUGGGUACGGGCAGACUAGAGUGAUGUAGGGGAGACUGGAAUUCCUGGUGUAGCGGUGAAAUGCGCAGAUAUCAGGAGGAACACCGAUGGCGAAGGCAGGUCUCUGGGCAUUAACUGACGCUGAGGAGCGAAAGCAUGGGGAGCGAACAGGAUUAGAUACCCUGGUA
RNAcentral lists this ribosomal RNA (439 nucleotides) under uncultured Actinomycetales bacterium. RNAcentral describes it as "bacterial SSU rRNA". It matches the Rfam family "Bacterial small subunit ribosomal RNA", at positions 341 to 792 of the family's 1533-position model. Lineage: Bacteria; Bacillati; Actinomycetota; Actinomycetes; Actinomycetales. The record is from RNAcentral.